GAUCAUCAAGUACAGUCCCCUAUCCUUACAGCGUCCAUGAAGAAUGCAGCUAGCUGCGAGAAUUAAUGUGAAUUGCAGGACACAUUGAUCAUCGACACUUUGAAUGCACUUGCAGCCCCGAGUUCCUCUUGGGGCUAUGCCUGUCUGAGAGUCG
This 154-nucleotide ribosomal RNA is filed under the name Pelodiscus sinensis (Chinese soft-shelled turtle). Its description in RNAcentral is "5.8S ribosomal RNA (ENSPSIG00000020015.1)". The stretch from base 37 to 154 matches the Rfam family "5.8S ribosomal RNA", at positions 36 to 154 of the family's 154-position model. Rfam says of the family: 5.8S ribosomal RNA (5.8S rRNA) is a component of the large subunit of the eukaryotic ribosome. It is transcribed by RNA polymerase I as part of the 45S precursor that also contains 18S and 28S rRNA. Lineage: Eukaryota; Metazoa; Chordata; Testudines; Trionychidae. The record is from RNAcentral.